RNAcentral lists this long non-coding RNA (265 nucleotides) under Lathyrus oleraceus (garden pea). RNAcentral describes it as "Pisum sativum (pea) long non-coding RNA (PSAT_LNC024387)". Lineage: Eukaryota; Viridiplantae; Streptophyta; Magnoliopsida; Fabales; Fabaceae. The record is from RNAcentral.
AAAGAUGUCAUAACAUAUAACAUGUUAAAACAUAAUUGUUAGGAGAUACAAACCAUCAUCAUACACAGUUGUGACAGCUGAGAUAAUGAAAAAUCCAUGGAACUCAUUAAGAGCCCAAAAAUAUUACAUAAAGGCAUCAGUAAGGACUGCCACAAAUUACACAUUUAAACAAAAAGAAACAAAUUCUUCAGCAUCAAAACAUCAAGGGGACCAGCUUUCAUAACAUCAGCCACACCAGAACAGUCUUCAUCAGCACACAGUCGUC